GAGGGGGCUGCGGCCGAUUAGCUAGUUGGUAGGGUAACGGCCUACCAAGGCGAUGAUCGGUAGCCGGCCUGAGAGGGCGCACGGCCACACUGGCACUGAAACACGGGCCAGACUCCUACGGGAGGCAGCAGUGGGGAAUUUUGCACAAUGCCCGCAAGGGUGAUGCAGCAACGCCGCGUGAGGGAUGAAGGCCUUCGGGUCGUAAACCUCUUUCGACCGGGAAAAACGCCCCGAUGAAGAAUCGGGGCUGAUGGUACCGGGGGAAGAAGCCCCGGCUAACUACGUGCCAGCAGCCGCGGUAAUACGUAGGGGGCGAGCGUUGUUCGGAAUUACUGGGCGUAAAGGGCGUGUAGGCGGUGCGGUAAGUCGGGCGUGAAAUCCCCGGGCUUAACUCGGGGGGGUCGCUCGGGACUGCCGUGCUGGGGUGCGGGAGAGGGAAGUGGAAUUCCCGGUGUAGCGGUGAAAUGCGUAGAGAUCGGGAGG
This 483-nucleotide ribosomal RNA is filed under the name uncultured Acidobacteriota bacterium. RNAcentral describes it as "bacterial SSU rRNA". It matches the Rfam family "Bacterial small subunit ribosomal RNA", at positions 224 to 704 of the family's 1533-position model. The record is from RNAcentral. Lineage: Bacteria; Pseudomonadati; Acidobacteriota.